Molecule: ribosomal RNA, 441 nt
Filed under: Wolbachia endosymbiont of Aedes albopictus
Lineage: Bacteria; Pseudomonadati; Pseudomonadota; Alphaproteobacteria; Rickettsiales; Anaplasmataceae
Description: bacterial SSU rRNA
Rfam family: Bacterial small subunit ribosomal RNA
Source: RNAcentral
ACUCCUACGGGAGGCAGCAGUGGGGAAUAUUGGACAAUGGGCGAAAGCCUGAUCCAGCCAUGCCGCAUGAGUGGAGAAGGCCUUUGGGUUGUAAAGCUCUUUUAGUGAGGAAGAUAAUGACGGUACUCACAGAAGAAGUCCUGGCUAACUCCGUGCCAGCAGCCGCGGUAAUACGGAGAGGGCUAGCGUUAUUCGGAAUUAUUGGGCGUAAAGGGCGCGUAGGCUGGUUAAUAAGUUAAAAGUGAAAUCCCGAGGCUUAACCUUGGAAUUGCUUUUAAAACUAUUAAUCUAGAGAUUGAAAGAGGAUAGAGGAAUUCCUGAUGUAGAGGUAAAAUUCGUAAAUAUUAGGAGGAACACCAGUGGCGAAGGCGUCUAUCUGGUUCAAAUCUGACGCUGAAGCGCGAAGGCGUGGGGAGCAAACAGGAUUAGAUACCCUGGUAG